Molecule: small nuclear RNA, 102 nt
Organism: Toxorhynchites rutilus septentrionalis
Lineage: Eukaryota; Metazoa; Arthropoda; Insecta; Diptera; Culicidae
Source: RefSeq, a predicted model, not a curated record
GUCCAGCCGAAGCUAGGACCUAUACUAAAAUUGGAACGAUACAGAGAAGAUUAGCAUGGCCCCUGCGCAAGGAUGACACGCAAAAUCGUGAAGCCAAUUUGU